This is a non-coding RNA of Pseudopodoces humilis (Tibetan ground-tit), 1483 nucleotides long. NCBI's taxonomy places the organism in Eukaryota, Metazoa, Chordata, Aves, Passeriformes, Paridae. The record is from the annotation of a RefSeq genome assembly.
CACACUCGCCACACACGCCUGCCGCCUCCUCCCACCGUCACUUCACAUCUCGGGGCUGCGCCGUGCUCUCUGACUCUUCCUCACUCAGCAAAUACGCAGCUUGCUCUCGCCAUGCACCUCGCCUCUCUCAUCCUCCCCCUCUUCCUGGGACAGCUCCUGGGCACAACGGGGCAGAUCACGGUCACCCAGGACGAUGGACAAGUCAUGGUGAAGCAGGGACACCCUUUCCAAACCACCUGCAAAUACCAGACUAGUGGUAGUUAUGCUGCCUUGUUCUGGUACCAGCUGCGGAAAGGCCAAGCCCCACAGCUGCUCUCCUAUCAAGCAGGCUCUGGCCCCAAGCACAGCGGCCGGAUCACCACGCACCUCAACACCACGGGGAAAUACAGUGUCCUGAAGGUGGAGGAAGUGCAGCUCUCUGACACUGCCUUGUACCUCUGUGCUGUGACAGACACCCCGGUGCAGGGAGCGUCCCCGGCUGUGCAACAACCCAGGGGAGGGACGGAGGGAUGGAGGGGAGGUGUCUGUGCAGGGCUGAGGCUGGGCAAGGGACGCUGGGCUCAGCCCAGGGCUCACCUGAUGCUGAAUCGCCACGCCUGUACAAUGCUCUGAUGGUUUUGCACCACGUCCAUCCUAAUAUUAAUUUGAGAAAGUUUUUCUGAUUAUUUUGACUCAUCUCUUCAUUUGUGCGGUCUCGAAGUAAAGAAAAAUGUCCCCCGUGCUUGCCUGGGACCUCGUCGUUGCACACUCCAGCCCUGCUGCUCUUGGCCCCACAUGGCCUCAGCAGAGCCCAGGGCUGGGUGUGUGUUCCUGCCUUGGGUGCUCCUGCAGCAGCCCCGUUUGCAGGGACACACGUGAAGCACAGAUUUGGGUGUGGCUCCAGUGUGGUGAGCAGCGAGCUGUGCCUGUCCGGGUGUGUGUCCCUCAUCGGGAGGGAAUUUCCUGACCGGGCCAGGGACCCUGAGCUCUGCUCUGGCCCUGCUCUGCACAGAGCAGCAGCGUCCCAGGCUCAGAAGGAGCCCGAGUGCAGCUGAGUGGGGCCGGCAGCUGCCCGCUACACACGUGUGCAGGGCAGAGGUGCUGAAAUGCAGCCCCUGCGUGCUGAGCCCUCCCUUUGCUGCCCCUCCAAAGCUCACGCUCGGUUCAUGCCGAUCUCAGGCCCAACAAGGACGCUUUCAGUGCAGCUCGGCCGCUCGGCUGAACUCAGCACGAACAGCACGGCCGGGGCCCCAGCACGGCUCGCAGCCCCCCUGGCCUCGGCCCCAGGCGGGACACAGCCGCUCGCAGCAGCAGCGCUGCACAGGGCAAAAGGAGGAGCUGUGCCUUGUGCGCACGGACAGAGGCUCGGCAAUGCUGCCGCCCGUGUGCUGCCAGCGGCGGAGCGGAUCUGCUUCCCGUGCGCUGGCGCUGGGCUGUGCCAUGGGACACAGCCGCCUCUUGCGCCCGGCCGUGCCCCAAUUGCUGGGUCGCUCCUUGGGCCGGG